RNAcentral lists this long non-coding RNA (2577 nucleotides) under Meleagris gallopavo (turkey). Its description in RNAcentral is "lncRNA (ENSMGAG00000019245.1)". The record is from RNAcentral. Lineage: Eukaryota; Metazoa; Chordata; Aves; Galliformes; Phasianidae.
CCGUUGGUAGCCAUCCCGAGCCCGGCUGCCUCGCGGCCGCAAGGAGAACAGCCACGCGCGCCCCGGGAGCCGGCAGGUUGCGGCGAGCAGGGGCAGCGAACGCGGUUCUCCAAAGCAUAAAGGGGCUGAGCGACAGCGUGCGGGUGCCGGAUUCCAGAAAAUACAAGGCAUUGCUGGACAGCUGUAGCUCUACAUUUAAGUACUCUGACAGUGAAUUACUGAGCAAGAGAGAACAUUCCAAAACCAUCCCAAAUUGUUAUGAAAUGAAUAACACUCAUUUUCUUGCUAGAUGGAUGAUUGAAGCUGCUGAGGAGGCGGGUGACAAGCACACAGAGCUCACUGCUAAACUACUACAAUCAAGGAUGUGCUCUCCCACCUGCAUUCAGGAGCGCUCAAAGAACUGGCUGGGGUUAAUGUAGAAGUGUUACAUGCACAGCAAACCUGUCCGUGUCUGUAGUGUUAGCAGCAAUGGAUGGCUGGUUUUUUUUAUUAAUUACAAUUUUUAAUUAAUACACUAAUUAAUACUAAGCUGCUGCAUCUUCACUGGCGUCUAUUUAUGAUUGCUGUUACCUGUAUUUCAACAAAUUAUAUAUUUGUUCUUCUGCUAGCACAAAGUCACUGUGAUUGUGGAUGCCUAAAGGACUACAUGUCCCUGUAGUGUAACUCACUCUCUCAUGCAGCAUUAGAGGAUACAAAUGUGUGUGUUCUUCAGUAUUACAACAUUUUAUUGAUUUAAAGGACAUUUUACAACAUUCCCUGCACUUAAAAUAGGAAAGGAAAUGAUCCAUCAGUGCUUGUAUUUGUAUUGUUUGCAAGUUGAUCUCUUCCAGGACACAAAGUUUUUGGAGUUCAGAGGACUUUUUUGCUGGCCCUGAGUCUGAGCAUUUAAUAACACUUCGAAAGCAGAAGCAGCAUUGUAUAAGCAUUGAAAAUUGGAAGCAAAAUGCACUUAGAUUAAAAAAUAAACAAGAUUGAGAGGGUUUCUUGCGUACACUAUACUUAGCCCUUUCAGAGAUGAAAAUAAGUAGAUUUCUGAGAUUCUGAAUGCAAAUCUUGGUGCUAAUCAUUUGAAUUUCCAAAAUAAAUAAAAAUUAUCCCCAAACAAAGCCCUGCUAGAAGCACUGAACAUGCCAGUGGCAAGUUCUGCUUCAGACUGCAAGAGAUAAAGUAUGUUAGUGCGUAUCGGUUAGUCUAAUUUAUUCAGUGUCAUUGCCAUAUCACAACCUUCUGUUUGAUUUUCUUAUAAACUAAUAAUUUCCUGAAUGAGCUAAUACAGACACUGCCACUAGUACCUCUGCCUUGUAGAAGUUUUUUAUUGUUGUGUAUGCAACUAAAUUGAAAUAUCUUUCACUUGAAAUAUUGACUUUAAUAUCUCAUUUGAAAAAUUCAUGAAGCCUUUGAUGUUAAAUCCAUACUCAAUUUAGCCAAAUGCCAUUAGAAUAUGCAAUACGCCUGAAUACAGAAAGCAUUAUUGUCUGUGUUUCUGCAGAAGAAUUACAUUUUAUGACUGUAACGUCAGGAUCUUUUUUGGAUUUGUGCAUGAAGAAAAGAAAGAGAAAAGCAGCACAUUAGAAGUAAAAUGAAAAGUGGUAUUGAUUAGGCGCUCAUUUACCCUCUUUGCUUCAGUCCCUAAAUGCAUGGAAAUAAGGGUUGUGCCACUGCAAGUAACAAUGCUCCAUAAUGAAUGGAACAAUCUUUAGAAAAUUAGUGUAAACAUGUAUGAUAGUGCACAGAUGUUGCUCCUAGUAACUGUCGCACAUUUAUUUUACAUCUUCAUUUACAUAUGUCUCUUUAUUUCCUAAUAGUAUCAUAAUAGAAAGAUGACAAUAGUUAAUGAUUUCAUAAAACAUGCAAUGUAAAGACUGAUGGAGAGGUAGAACAUUAAUUGAAACCUAUAGGUAGUGUACAUCAGAAUUACAUCUCUGAAAAUGACUCAUGAUAGAAAUAUCCCUCCUUUACAGUGAAAGACAAAGACAGGUAAAAAAAAAAACAACACCAACAAACAACUAGGCUUUCAGCAAAUUAAUUUUUUUUUCCAGUAAAACAGAGACUGGCAAAUGUUGCAAAAUCUCUUGAAUGCUAAUAGAAUGGUAUUUGCCUUUAGUAAUUUAUGGGCACUUUUCUCCCAGCUAUCGAUCACAUUUAAAAAAAGUAAACUGCAUUAACAUUUUAGGCAAUAAUGGCUCCAGAAAAUGUCUGAUUUUUAUCACUACCAAAACUGAUGACAUGAUACUUGGUUCCUUAGCAGAGGUGAGAGAGUGGUAGCUCUCAGAGUGAGUGAGUAUGCCUGCAGUGCACUAAUGGAAGAGCACUGAGUGAGCUGGAGCUGGAGCAAUGCUUGGAGCUUGGUUUCUUGUCUGAAAACAUAAAGAAUAUGUUGAUGGGACAAGCCAGGAGGCUGCUGUGUAGCAGCACAACGAAAUGCCCAGAGGACCUUGGAGUGUGGGGAUUGUAAUGACCAUGGUAAAUCGAAGCAGGAGGGAGCAGAGCUGCUCUCUGCCACCAUCUUCUGGCCAGUCUCUGGGACAGAAACCUCUGCAGGCUUCAGUCUCCUGUUGCCUCUCCAAGAGGAACAAG